RNAcentral lists this ribosomal RNA (205 nucleotides) under uncultured bacterium. Its description in RNAcentral is "partial 16S ribosomal RNA". It matches the Rfam family "Bacterial small subunit ribosomal RNA", at positions 382 to 579 of the family's 1533-position model. The record is from RNAcentral.
CCUGAUCAGCCAUGCCGCGUGUGUGAAGAAGGCCUUUUGGUUGUAAAGCACUUUAAGCGAGGAGGAGGAGCUUCAGGUUAAUACCCUGGAUGCUUGGACGUUACUCGCAGAAUAAGCACCGGCUAACUCUGUGCCAGCAGCCGCGGUAAUACAGAGGGUGCAAGCGUUAAUCGGAUUUACUGGGCGUAAAGCGUGCGUAGGCGGC